Molecule: non-coding RNA, 47 nt
Organism: Aedes albopictus (Asian tiger mosquito)
Lineage: Eukaryota; Metazoa; Arthropoda; Insecta; Diptera; Culicidae
Source: Rfam
AAAACGGCCCUUCUCAGGGCCACUGAAAUGUUCUGAAAGAGUUAUAU